Molecule: long non-coding RNA, 755 nt
Organism: Piliocolobus tephrosceles (Ugandan red Colobus)
Lineage: Eukaryota; Metazoa; Chordata; Mammalia; Primates; Cercopithecidae
Exons: 3
Source: RefSeq, a predicted model, not a curated record
AGCACAGCAGGAACAAGUCACCAGGCCGGGCUGGGUGGGCGUGGCCUGAGCGGCACGCUGACUUCAUCACUGUCACCUCCUCCCGGCCUCUGCCUGCGCCCCCUUCCCACCCACAGGACGGCAACACCCGGUGACUCCCUGACCUGGCUGUAACCAUGUAAACUAGAGGUCCAGCAUGGUGGCACAUGACUGUAGUCCCAGCCACUCAGGAGGCUGAGGCAUGAGAAUCGCUUGAACCCAGGAGGCGGAGUUUGUGAGAUGGGGAUCACUACAUGGCCCAGGCUGCUCUCGAAUGGCUAGGCUCAAGCAAUCCUUCCACCUUGGCCUCCUGUGAUGCUCUGAGAUUACAGAUGGGAGCCAUUGCACCCAGCCCUGCCCUGACAUCUCUCUAGAAGAGACAGGCCCUGAUCCCCCAAGGCUCCAGGAACAGAAAAACAUUGCCAACUCUGCCCAAGGAGCAGUCACCGUCUGAAGGGGGCAUUCCCUGCAGGAAGAACCCCCACUCUCACUCAGACACAAGAGGAAAUGGAACGAUCGGUGUGAACGGGACGUUUCAGAAGCUUUCCUGUUUCCCUCUCCAAGGCCUGUCAGCUCCAGACUCUGCCUCUGUGCCCGGCUGUCCUGCUUGUUUGUAAGGCACAGAAAGGAACACAGCCGGGCCCUGUUUACGGCCCAUCUGACCCUACAGUGGGAGCAGGUCCCAGGCUGCCCAGUUCACACAGGGCUGACCGCACUGAAGAGAGUUGCUCAAAACC